RNAcentral lists this ribosomal RNA (160 nucleotides) under Staphylococcus aureus. RNAcentral describes it as "partial 23S ribosomal RNA". It matches the Rfam family "Bacterial large subunit ribosomal RNA", at positions 1 to 160 of the family's 2925-position model. Lineage: Bacteria; Bacillati; Bacillota; Bacilli; Caryophanales; Staphylococcaceae. The record is from RNAcentral.
GAUUAAGUUAUUAAGGGCGCACGGUGGAUGCCUUGGCAAUAGAAGCCGAUGAAGGACGUUACUAACGACGAUAUGCUUUGUGGAGCUGUAAGUAAGCUUUGAUCCAGAGAUUUCCGAAUGGGGAAACCCAGAAUGAGUUAUGUCAUGUUAUCGAUAUGUG